This 75-nucleotide small RNA is filed under the name Salmonella enterica subsp. houtenae str. ATCC BAA-1581. Its description in RNAcentral is "C0343 RNA". The record is from RNAcentral. Lineage: Bacteria; Pseudomonadati; Pseudomonadota; Gammaproteobacteria; Enterobacterales; Enterobacteriaceae.
CUGUUCCCAUUCCUGAACCGCUUCCUCGUCCUCAACCGAUGCCCGACCCGCCGCCGGACGAAGAACCGAUUAAAA